Molecule: transfer RNA, 73 nt
Filed under: Candidatus Woesebacteria bacterium RIFCSPHIGHO2_01_FULL_39_17
Lineage: Bacteria; Candidatus Woeseibacteriota
Description: tRNA-Arg
Rfam family: tRNA
About the family: Transfer RNA (tRNA) molecules are approximately 80 nucleotides in length. Their secondary structure includes four short double-helical elements and three loops (D, anti-codon, and T loops). Further hydrogen bonds mediate the characteristic L-shaped molecular structure. tRNAs have two regions of fundamental functional importance: the anti-codon, which is responsible for specific mRNA codon recognition, and the 3' end, to which the tRNAs corresponding amino acid is attached (by aminoacyl-tRNA synthetases). tRNAs cope with the degeneracy of the genetic code in two manners: having more than one tRNA (with a specific anti-codon) for a particular amino acid; and 'wobble' base-pairing, i.e. permitting non-standard base-pairing at the 3rd anti-codon position.
Source: RNAcentral
GCCGGUGUAGCUCAACGGACAGAGCAGUCCCGUCCUAAGGGAAAGGUUGAGAGUUCAAUUCUCUCCACCGGCA